AGCGGUUGAAGUGUUUGGCUGCUAACCAAAAGGUCGGUGGCUCAAACCCACCAGCUGCUC
RNAcentral lists this transfer RNA (60 nucleotides) under Loxodonta africana (African savanna elephant). It matches the Rfam family "tRNA", at positions 14 to 71 of the family's 71-position model. From Rfam's summary of the family: Transfer RNA (tRNA) molecules are approximately 80 nucleotides in length. Their secondary structure includes four short double-helical elements and three loops (D, anti-codon, and T loops). The record is from Rfam by way of RNAcentral. Lineage: Eukaryota; Metazoa; Chordata; Mammalia; Proboscidea; Elephantidae.